Unclassified non-coding RNA from Macaca fascicularis (crab-eating macaque), 148 nucleotides. It matches the Rfam family "Metazoan signal recognition particle RNA". From Rfam's summary of the family: The signal recognition particle (SRP) is a universally conserved ribonucleoprotein. It is involved in the co-translational targeting of proteins to membranes. The record is from Ensembl. Lineage: Eukaryota; Metazoa; Chordata; Mammalia; Primates; Cercopithecidae.
GCUGGGUGUGGUGGUGCACACCUGUAGUCCUGGCUACCCUGGAGGCUGAGGUGGGAGGAUUGCUUGAGCCUUGGGGGUCGAGGCUGCAGUGAGCCACGAUCAAGCCACUGCAUUCCAGCCUGGGCAACAGAAUGAGACCCCAUCUCAA